This 692-nucleotide long non-coding RNA is filed under the name Rattus norvegicus (Norway rat). RNAcentral's name for it is "long non-coding RNA NONRATT026039". Lineage: Eukaryota; Metazoa; Chordata; Mammalia; Rodentia; Muridae. The record is from RNAcentral.
UUUUUUUUGUUCUUUUUUUCGGAGCUGGGGACCGAACCCAGGGCCUUGCGCUUCCUAGGCAAGCGCUCUACCACUGAGCUAAAUCCCCAAGUCCCUGAAUCUCCUCUUAUGCAGGGGCAUGGCCUAUCUUUCAGGCAGCAGCCAAGAGUUACGGAAUCAUUUUCCAUGAAGUCCCUUAAGACUCUGCAUAUGGAAAGCAAGCCACAGGUUCUAGCAAUAUUAGUACCAUUGAGAGCAGUGCCAGGCCCCAAGAAUAGGACUGGCUGAAGGACGCUGUCUUCCAUCUGUUCAGGUCCCUUCAAGGGUAUAGUGCUACUUCCUGGGUAGCCAAGCUUGUGCUGAGCACUGUGGAUGUAGCAAAACAAGAGACAGACAAUUCUCGGGACUCAUGGUCAGAUGCUGGCAAAGACUAUUCCAGCUGCUUCAGUGGUGAGACUACUGUUUGAGCCCAUCUCAACAAUGACACCAACUUUCAGUAGUGUCGGGCUAACCUUUCAGUCAUCAGGGGCUACCCAAAAAUGAGGUAUCCGCUCUCUACCAGUGCUGUUCAAAGUAUUUUAUAUUCUGCCCUCCCCCUUCUUCUAUCAUCUGACAGUCACCUAAGAGCAGCCAUCAAGCUCUCAACUCUCUGGUUGUCUUUACACGAAGACCAUUUACACCUGUAGCUUCAAGAAUCGGAGUGUUAUUUUUUU